Eurytemora carolleeae is the source of this 370-nucleotide long non-coding RNA. RefSeq lists it as uncharacterized. The record is from RefSeq and is a predicted model, not a curated record. The transcript is spliced from 3 exons. NCBI's taxonomy places the organism in Eukaryota, Metazoa, Arthropoda, Copepoda, Calanoida, Temoridae.
CAGAAUUUACGACUUUCUUGGGUCAGCAGAAAAUGUUUCAAUAAAUUUAAAUUCUUUGAUCUUCUAAAAUUGAAAAUAGUAAUUUAGAUUUGUGUAAAAAAUUGUUAUUAUUGAUGAUUAGGCAAGUGAGGAGGUGAAUAUAGAUCGUCUUUUCUCAUCUUCAUCGUCAAACCUUCUCCAGGAGUUACAGAACAGUCAGAAAAAGAAAUUAGAAACAAUGGAGAAAGUGCAAGCACAUUUUGGAAAACGUUUUGAUACAAUUGAUCCAAUCAGUGAAGAGGAACUGGUCCCCUUCCUUAAAGUGCUUCUACAGAAAUAAAAUGAUUUAUACGGAUUAAUCCUUGCUUAAUAAAUUUGAUUUAUAAUUUUU